AGAAGAAAGAGGGCCUCCAGUAAAGCAUGUGGACAGGGAGGAAGGCCAGAUACUGUGGAGGAGCCACUACCAGGUCCUCUGUAUGAAAACGUCUCAACUCUGACCAAUCACUUGGCUCCUGCAGCACAGACAGAACCAAUAGAAGAGCAGGAUGACCAUCACUAUGCCAGCAUCCAUACCUCUCGUUCAGAGAACCAGGAAGUUCCUCGCUGUUGGGUUGGCCCUAAUGUCCAAUCAGACCAAGCAGAUGCUGUCUUUUAUUCUGUGGUCAACAUUAAGAGACCAAACGCUGUCCCUGGAGAGAGUGACCAGACAGAGGCGGCAGAAACUUCAGAGUUGUACAGCACCGUCAAAAAACACCCCAGAUAUUGAAACAGUUGUGGCAGCAGGAUUUAAAUAGUGGUACUAGGUGGAGUGUC
Gadus chalcogrammus (walleye pollock) is the source of this 419-nucleotide long non-coding RNA. RefSeq lists it as uncharacterized. The transcript has 3 exons. The record is from RefSeq and is a predicted model, not a curated record. NCBI's taxonomy places the organism in Eukaryota, Metazoa, Chordata, Actinopteri, Gadiformes, Gadidae.